AGGGAAUCUUCCACAAUGGACGAAAGUCUGAUGGAGCAACGCCGCGUGAGCGAUGAAGGCCUUCGGGUCGUAAAGCUCUGUUGUUAGGGAAGAACAAGUAUCGGAGUAACUGCCGGUGCCUUGACGGUACCUAACCAGAAAGCCACGGCCAACUACGUGCCAGCAGCCGCGGUAAUACGUAGGUGGCAAGCGUUGUCCGGAAUUAUUGGGCGUAAAGCGCGCGCAGGCGGUCCUUUAAGUCUGAUGUGAAAGCCCACGGCUCAACCGUGGAGGGUCAUUGGAAACUGGGGGACUUGAGUGCAGAAGAGGAAAGCGGAAUUCCUCGUGUAGCGGUGAAAUGCGUAGAGAUGUGGAGGAACACCAGUGGCGAAGGCGGCCUACUGGGCUUUAACUGACGCUGAAGCACGAAAGCAUGGGGAGCAAAC
RNAcentral lists this ribosomal RNA (425 nucleotides) under uncultured bacterium. Its description in RNAcentral is "bacterial SSU rRNA". It matches the Rfam family "Bacterial small subunit ribosomal RNA", at positions 356 to 773 of the family's 1533-position model. The record is from RNAcentral.